RNAcentral lists this ribosomal RNA (886 nucleotides) under uncultured bacterium. RNAcentral describes it as "bacterial SSU rRNA". It matches the Rfam family "Bacterial small subunit ribosomal RNA", at positions 59 to 929 of the family's 1533-position model. The record is from RNAcentral.
AAGUAGAACGCUGAAGGAGGAGCUUGCUUCUCUGGAUGAGUUGCGAACGGGUGAGUAACGCGUAGGUAACCUGCCUGGUAGCGGGGGAUAACUAUUGGAAACGAUAGCUAAUACCGCAUAAUAGUAGAUGUUGCAUGACAUUUGCUUAAAAGGUGCAAUUGCAUCACUACCAGAUGGACCUGCGUUGUAUUAGCUAGUUGGUGGGGUAGCGGCUCACCAAGGCGACGAUACAUAGCCGACCUGAGAGGGUGAUCGGCCACACUGGGACUGAGACACGGCCCAGACUCCGACGGGAGGCAGCAGUAGGGAAUCUUCGGCAAUGGACGGAAGUCUGACCGAGCAACGCCGCGUGAGUGAAGAAGGUUUUCGGAUCGUAAAGCUCUGUUGUAAGAGAAGAACGAGUGUGAGAGUGGAAAGUUCACACUGUGACGGUAUCUUACCAGAAAGGGACGGCCAACUACGUGCCAGCAGCCGCGGUAAUACGUAGGUCCCGAGCGUUGUCCGGAUUUAUUGGGCGUAAAGCGAGCGCAGGCGGUUAGAUAAGUCUGAAGUUAAAGGCUGUGGCUUAACCAUAGUACGCUUUGGAAACUGUUUAACUUGAGUGCAAGAGGGGAGAGUGGAAUUCCAUGUGUAGCGGUGAAAUGCGUAGAUAUAUGGAGGAACACCGGUGGCGAAAGCGGCUCUCUGGCUUGUAACUGACGCUGAGGCUCGAAAGCGUGGGGAGCAAACAGGAUUAGAUACCCUGGUAGUCCACGCCGUAAACGAUGAGUGCUAGGUGUUAGACCCUUUCCGGGGUUUAGUGCCGCAGCUAACGCAUUAAGCACUCCGCCUGGGGAGUACGACCGCAAGGUUGAAACUCAAAGGAAUUGACGGGGGCCCGCACAAG